GAUGAACGCUAGCUACAGGCUUAACACAUGCAAGUCGAGGGGAAACGACAUCGAAAGCUUGCUUUUGAUGGGCGUCGACCGGCGCACGGGUGAGUAACGCGUAUCCAACCUGCCCACCACUUGGGGAUAACCUUGCGAAAGUAAGACUAAUACCCAAUGACAUCUCUAGAAGACAUCUGAAAGAUAUUAAAGAUUUAUCGGUGAUGGAUAGGGAUGCGUCUGAUUAGCUUGUUGGCGGGGUAACGGCCCACCAAGGCGACGAUCAGUAGGGGUUCUGAGAGGAAGGUCCCCCACAUUGGAACUGAGACACGGUCCAAACUCCUACGGGAGGCAGCAGUGAGGAAUAUUGGUCAAUGGGCGAGAGCCUGAACCAGCCAAGUAGCGUGCAGGAUGACGGCCCUAUGGGUUGUAAACUGCUUUUAUAAGGGAAUAAAGUGAGCCUCGUGAGGCUUUUUGCAUGUACCUUAUGAAUAAGGACCGGCUAAUUCCGUGCCAGCAGCCGCCGUAA
RNAcentral lists this ribosomal RNA (508 nucleotides) under uncultured bacterium. Its description in RNAcentral is "partial 16S ribosomal RNA". It matches the Rfam family "Bacterial small subunit ribosomal RNA", at positions 28 to 523 of the family's 1533-position model. The record is from RNAcentral.